RNAcentral lists this ribosomal RNA (465 nucleotides) under uncultured bacterium. Its description in RNAcentral is "partial 16S ribosomal RNA". It matches the Rfam family "Bacterial small subunit ribosomal RNA", at positions 28 to 507 of the family's 1533-position model. The record is from RNAcentral.
GACGAACGCUGGCGGCGUGCUUAACACAUGCAAGUCGUACGGUAAGGCCCUUUCGGGGGUACACGAGUGGCGAACGGGUGAGUAACACGUGAGUAACCUGCCCACAACUUUGGGAUAACGCUAGGAAACUGGUGCUAAUACUGGAUAUGUGCUCCUGCUGCAUGGUGGGGGUUGGAAAGCUCCGGCGGUUGUGGAUGGACUCGCGGCCUAUCAGCUUGUUGGUGGGGUAGUGGCCUACCAAGGCGGCGACGGGUAGCCGGCCUGAGAGGGUGACCGGCCACAUUGGGACUGAGAUACGGCCCAGACUCCGACGGGAGGCAGCAGUGGGGAAUAUUGAACAAUGGGCGCAAGCCUGAUGCAGCAACGCCGCGUGCGGGAUGACGGCCUUCGGGUUGUAAACCGCUUUCAGCAGGGACGAAGCUUUUUGUGACGGUACCUGCAGAAGAAGCACCGGCUAACUACGUG